GGGUUUAUUGUUUAGAGUUUUGGGUUUAGGGUUUAGAAUUUAAGCUUUAGAGUUUAGGGGUUAGAAUUGAUGGUUUAGGGUUUAUGGCUUAGAUUUUUGGGUUUAGAGUUUAGGAUUUUGGGUUUAGAGUUUAGAGUUUAGGAUUUUGGGUUUAAAGUUUAGGAUUUAGGGUUUAAGAUUUGGGUUUAGAGCUUAGGAUUUGAGGUUUAGGGUUUAGAUUUUAGAUUUUUUAGAAUCUCGGGUUUUUUUAAAUGGUAUUAAAGUUGGUGUUGUUUUUUUCAACCAUUUUUAAAAAAUUUAUUGCAUUUUUUAACUAAUCCUACAUGGCAUUUUAGUUGAUUAUAAGAAGUGAGGUGAGUUUAACUAUUCACCACAGGAGUGAACCCAACUAUUGUUCCACGAGAAAGUGUUUAAUUAAUAAUGUGCGUCAUGUAUUUGGACCUAAAUAAAGUGUGACGAGACAGUAAAAAGAGAAACAGAGUAUGAUAGCACAACACAAAAGCAAUACAGUAUAUUAUUGACACAAACCGUUAUCAACAAAUACAACCCGACCCUUUAAAAAUUCCAGUAAAUUACAACCAAAUGCUUUAAACAUGCACGAUAGUGAGGUGUAUCAUGGAAGUUCAUAUAAAUGACAUAAACUUUUGACUCUUCAUAUAUACACGCUGAAAAGGGGAAUGAAAGUAACAUGACCAACAAGUAAACAUCAAAAAGUAUAAAACCUAAUAUCUUUUGUAUUUAACCAUCCCUUAUAUAAUGCCCAUCAUUUUCGCAAACACACACACACACACACACAUUUAUUCAAUACCUUAUACCAUUCUAAAUUCAACUGAUCUAUCAAAAUUAAGUAUCAAAUUGAAAAUGAAAAAUUUGUGGUGGGAGAGAGAUUCACACCUUUUGUAGAAAAUGCGUGUGGGACAAACUGAGAGACACACGGCGUUUUCGUUUCUGCCUAGAAUCAAAACUUAGUGCUAGACUGCAUACAAUGGACAUGUUUAACUCUUUACAAUGAGCAUAUUCGUAAACUAUUUAACUGUUGAAAUUAUAUUAUAAGGAUGUUGAAAAAAUAAACAAUGAUGUGAAGUAAACAUAGUUGAAUUCAACAAGUUAAAUAAAAAAAAUAUGGAAUCACCAACACCAUGUGUUUUGUUAUUAUUAGUGGUAAAGUUUUUUGUUAUUUUUAUUACAUCUUUAUUAUUUAACACUAAUUAUUCUUUAAUCAAUUCAAUUACGUUUAUUUAUCAAAAUUUAUUUAUUUCACAUUCUCUAUAAAUAGAGAUUGAUUUCAUUUUUUGGACAUAGAAAAUAUUUUUCAAAUAGUUUUUGAAAUAAAUCUUAACAAUAACUCUUUUAACACAAUUUCUUUAAUUAUAUUUCUGAAAAAUAAUUUUCAAAACUUUUAGUUAUUUUAAUUUAAUUUUAGUUAACAAUAAUAUAUAGUAAAUAGUAUAUGAAAUGAAGAUGGUAAGAUAUGGUGUUGAAUAUAAUUAAACAAAACAAUUAAAAAGUAGAAAGUUGAAUGUGUGUUGAAUUAUUAGGUGGAUAAAAAAAAAAGAUGUGGGGUAUUUAAAAGUCAAAAUAUAUUGUUGAAUUUCAAAACUAUAAUUGUGGUUGAAUACACAAGGCUAAAAAGUCAAUGACUUUGGCUCCCUCUCUUCAUCUUUACUCUAUUAUAAAUUGAAGGGCCAAUCGGCCAACUCUAUUUGUCUUUAAGAAACUAAAACAUAAACCAAUUGAUAACCAAUCUUUUUUUCUUUCUCCUCUCUCUCACAGCUAAAGCAUAAAUAUCGAGAGAGAAACUUUUGAUUGUCUGUGUGGUUUGUGAGAGAUGGAAGAGGCAAACAAUCAAAGUAAAAAAUGGGAACAAGAGGAGAUUAGUAAUGAAAUGAAUAACUGGGAACUGACUGAAGAAGAAAGUGUUGAUUGGAGAGGAAGACCAUCCAACCCCAAGCAUGGUGGAACGAGAGCUGCUCUCUUUGUUCUGGGUACUCUCUCUCUCUCAAAAACUAAUUUAGUGUUAAAGAUUUGUUUCUAACCGGUGAUGGAUCAUAUUAUACUAGUGUCUUGGUCGAUAAGAACCCAGCUUAUCCAAUUUAUGGUCCCACUAACCAUAAUUAUUUAUUCCAUGGACCUUGGUCAAUAUAAGAUUUCAUAAUUAUUCUAUGGCUUAUAGAUUUGUGAUUUUUAAUUUUUAAGGACUACAAGCCUUUGAGAUAAUGGGGAUAGCAGCAGUAGGGAACAACCUUAUAACAUAUGUUAUCAACGAAAUGCAUUUCCCCUUGUCUAAAGCGGCCAAUAUUGUUACCAACUUUGUCGGCACAAUCUUUAUCUUCGGCCUCCUCGGGGGCUACCUCUCUGACGCCUUUCUCGGCAGCUUCUGGACCAUGCUCAUCUUUGGCUUCGUUGAGCUUUCUGUAUGUCUAUGCUCUCCUUCUAUUAUUUACAUAAAAGUAUAUAUAUAGAUCUAUGAGCUUUCUGUAUGUCUAUGCUCUCCUUCUAUUAUUUACAUAAAAGUAUAUAUAUAGAUCUAUGAGUUCCAUGGCUUCCAUUCCGAAACAAACAUGGGACCCCUAUUAUAUAUAUUUGGAUAUAUAUAUAUAUAUAUAUAUAGUGACGUAACUAUUUACGUGUAUACGUCCAUGCAUGCUUUUGGUGUGUACUCUUUUAUAUAUAAGUUUGUUAUUUAUUAUUUAUUUUGCACCAAAAAAAAGUUUAUUAUUUAUUCACGAAUAUGUCAUUGCUACAAAGAAAGAAAUAAGAACUAUUUAACAUCAUUAGUUAGUGUUUAAGAUAAAAGCAAGUUAAAAACGUUUUAAGAUCAAAUUUCUAGUUCUGAGACUUUUUAAUUGUUUUUCUAAGAGAAAAUUCAAUGUAACUUUAAUUGAUGAUAUAUCAAUGUUUAAGAUCAAAGUUUAUAAUUCUGAAGACUUUUUAAUUAUUAAUUAAUUGGUGUUUAACUCUUUACUGCCACCUGUCUUCCCAGGGUUUCAUACUAUUAUCAGUACAAGCACAUUUACCUCAACUAAAGCCACCAGAGUGUAACCCACUUAUAGACCAAAGCUCAUGUGAAGAAGCAAAAGGUUUCAAGGCAACGUUCUUCUUCAUGGCACUCUACUUGGUGGCUUUAGGAAGUGGCUGUGUGAAACCAAACAUGAUAGCUCACGGUGCGGACCAGUUCUCUCAGUCACAUCCUAAACAAUCUAAAAGGCUCUCAUCUUACUUCAAUGCCGCCUAUUUCGCCUUCUCCAUGGGCGAGCUUAUCGCGUUAACUCUCCUCGUUUGGGUCCAAACUCAUUCGGGCAUGGAUGUUGGAUUUGGAGUCUCUGCUGCAGCCAUGACGAUAGGCCUCAUUAGCUUAGUCUCCGGCACUAUGUUUUUUCGUAACAAACGUCCACGUCGAAGCCUCUUCACUCCCAUUGCCCAAGUUAGUUUUGGUCUUUUAACACAAUUUCUUUAAUUAUAUUUCUGAAAAAUAAUUUUCAAAACUUUUAGUUAUUUUAAUUUAAUUUUAGUUAACAAUAAUAUAUAGUAAAUAGUAUAUGAAAUGAAGAUGGUAAGAUAUGGUGUUGAAUAUAAUUAAACAAAACAAUUAAAAAGUAGAAAGUUGAAUGUGUGUUGAAUUAUUAGGUGGAUAAAAAAAAAAGAUGUGGGGUAUUUAAAAGUCAAAAUAUAUUGUUGAAUUUCAAAACUAUAAUUGUGGUUGAAUACACAAGGCUAAAAAGUCAAUGACUUUGGCUCCCUCUCUUCAUCUUUACUCUAUUAUAAAUUGAAGGGCCAAUCGGCCAACUCUAUUUGUCUUUAAGAAACUAAAACAUAAACCAAUUGAUAACCAAUCUUUUUUUCUUUCUCCUCUCUCUCACAGCUAAAGCAUAAAUAUCGAGAGAGAAACUUUUGAUUGUCUGUGUGGUUUGUGAGAGAUGGAAGAGGCAAACAAUCAAAGUAAAAAAUGGGAACAAGAGGAGAUUAGUAAUGAAAUGAAUAACUGGGAACUGACUGAAGAAGAAAGUGUUGAUUGGAGAGGAAGACCAUCCAACCCCAAGCAUGGUGGAACGAGAGCUGCUCUCUUUGUUCUGGGUACUCUCUCUCUCUCAAAAACUAAUUUAGUGUUAAAGAUUUGUUUCUAACCGGUGAUGGAUCAUAUUAUACUAGUGUCUUGGUCGAUAAGAACCCAGCUUAUCCAAUUUAUGGUCCCACUAACCAUAAUUAUUUAUUCCAUGGACCUUGGUCAAUAUAAGAUUUCAUAAUUAUUCUAUGGCUUAUAGAUUUGUGAUUUUUAAUUUUUAAGGACUACAAGCCUUUGAGAUAAUGGGGAUAGCAGCAGUAGGGAACAACCUUAUAACAUAUGUUAUCAACGAAAUGCAUUUCCCCUUGUCUAAAGCGGCCAAUAUUGUUACCAACUUUGUCGGCACAAUCUUUAUCUUCGGCCUCCUCGGGGGCUACCUCUCUGACGCCUUUCUCGGCAGCUUCUGGACCAUGCUCAUCUUUGGCUUCGUUGAGCUUUCUGUAUGUCUAUGCUCUCCUUCUAUUAUUUACAUAAAAGUAUAUAUAUAGAUCUAUGAGCUUUCUGUAUGUCUAUGCUCUCCUUCUAUUAUUUACAUAAAAGUAUAUAUAUAGAUCUAUGAGUUCCAUGGCUUCCAUUCCGAAACAA
This 4648-nucleotide long non-coding RNA is filed under the name Brassica napus (rape). Its description in RNAcentral is "long non-coding RNA (BNAP_LNC010109)". The record is from RNAcentral. Lineage: Eukaryota; Viridiplantae; Streptophyta; Magnoliopsida; Brassicales; Brassicaceae.